This is a long non-coding RNA of Perognathus longimembris pacificus (Pacific pocket mouse), 688 nucleotides long. RefSeq lists it as uncharacterized. The record is from RefSeq and is a predicted model, not a curated record. Lineage: Eukaryota; Metazoa; Chordata; Mammalia; Rodentia; Heteromyidae. The transcript has 2 exons.
UUGGUAGCUAACACAUCGGGCAUGCUCAAAGCUCUGGCUAGUGUGCCCAACAGCCAGUUCCCGGCUCUGAAGAAGCUGGGGCUUCUUCAGUAGCCCGGUCCCUUUAAAUCGGACCUGGCCAGUUGCUAAGCAACUGUGCGGGCCCCCAGCUGGGCGCUGCACUGCGGAGACUAGGUUCUGCCCCGGGCCGGCUCGGCCAGGUCGAGGUGGCCAGCACCAAACAGGGGGGCUGCCGCCUGCCCAUGGUAGCCGGCUCCGGGGGGGAAGUGUGGACAGGGCUCUCCAGAUCGCACCUCCAGUUCCAGAUAAAGCCAGUGGAAACUUUUAUCCAGUAUAAGAUCUCUGACCUCAGAAAGGGUAAGUACAAUUUUGUUGACUGUUAACUCAUUGGUCUUAGGAACACAGAGCCUUUACCCAACAGAAACCAUCAACCUUGUAAGUACAUUGUCCAGCUGCAUAUGCUGUACACCUUCAGGAAGGUCUUAUAAAAAUUCCAAACAAGGAUUUGGAAUGUGGCUUAGUGGUGGAGUAUUUGUCUAGCAUGCAUGAAGCCCUGGAUUCAAUUCCUCAGUACCACACGAACAGAAAAAACCAGACUUGUCACUGGCUCAACUGGGUAGAGUGCUAGCCUUGAGCAAAAGAAGCUCAGGGACAGUGCCCAGGCCUGAGUUCAAGCCCCUGGACUGGC